GACGAACGCUGGCGGCGUGCUUAACACAUGCAAGUCGAACGGACAGGCCCUGCUCUUGUGCGGUGGUCGAGUGGCGAACGGGUGAGUAACACGUGAGUAACCUGUCCCUGACUGUGGGAUAACUUCAGGAAACAGGGGCUCAUAUCGGAUAGGAGCUCCUGCCGCAGGGUGGGGGUUGGAAAGUUUCGGCGGUUGGGGAGGGAAUCGCGGCUUAUCAGCUUGGUGGGGGGGUAGUGGCAUACCAAGGCUAUGAGGGGUAGGCGACCUGACAGGCGAACCGGACCCAUUACGCCUGAGAUAAGGCACAGCCUGGACUCGGAGGCAAGGGUGGAGAGUAUUACACAGUACGGGGGAGGCAGACGUGGUGGCGCCGCGUGCGGGAAGACGGGAUUCGGGUUGUGAACCAAUGUCGACUUUGACGAGGCGUGAGUGACGGUACCGGAUAAAGAAGCCCCGGCUAACUACGUG
RNAcentral lists this ribosomal RNA (468 nucleotides) under uncultured bacterium. Its description in RNAcentral is "partial 16S ribosomal RNA". It matches the Rfam family "Bacterial small subunit ribosomal RNA", at positions 28 to 507 of the family's 1533-position model. The record is from RNAcentral.